Humulus lupulus (European hop) is the source of this 861-nucleotide long non-coding RNA. RefSeq lists it as uncharacterized. NCBI's taxonomy places the organism in Eukaryota, Viridiplantae, Streptophyta, Magnoliopsida, Rosales, Cannabaceae. The transcript has 2 exons. The record is from RefSeq and is a predicted model, not a curated record.
UCCACCUCUUGUGACUUUGACCAUUGCUCGUGCGAUCUCCUCCAACAACUUAUGAUGGCAAGAUCAACGACAACUCCUCUUUCUCCCUGUCGAGUGUGUACCAAGGGGAUGGCUGGUAGUUUGCGAUUGAUAGUUUGAAGUGAAACAGAAAGAAAAUAUAUGAAAAAAAAAACUUAAAACGUUAUUAUUGUAAAUAAGAAAACUUAUAUCAUUUUUGCAAAUAAAGUUUCGUGCAAAUGUAAAUAAUCUUUUUUGAAAACCAAAUCCAAAUCAAUGUCUGGAUUUUAUGUUGUAAAAUGAAAGCGAUAAAAAAAAAAAAUCAGGUUUUCUUCAUUUUGUGAAAGUUCUUCCCAAAAUCCUCAAAAACAAAAUCCAUUUCUUCUCGUCUACUCCCCUCCCCUCCACCAUUCGAGAAAAAACAGACCAUCUCUCUCUCUUCCGUCAACGGUGACUGGCGGCCCCUCCUAAUUGCGCGCCUGGUUGACUCCAAUUCCAAAUCUACCUCUCCUCCGCCUUCAGUCACAUAAGAAAAUGUCGAUGUGUUUUCCAUCAACCCCAAAGAAAAUGGCGACGACGGUGGGAUGCUUUCUCACUGGUGCUGCCCUUUUUGCUUAUGGCCUUCAUCUGUCAUAUGUAAACGUUGCUCCUCAACAAGCCCGAACCAAAGCUCGAAGCGAUUUUGUAAGAGAACGACUUAAAAAGAAAUAUGGCCAAUCUUAAAAUUAUUUUCUUUUUUUGCUUUUCAGAAUAAAUCAUUUCAGUGAUGUUUAGACCCUCAAACUAACUCAAAUGAACAGGUGAUGUAACGUUGUAGUAUGUAAAUUUUCGGAAUAAUUACGCUCUAUACAUCUUUGUAGUUUA